GUAAUUCCGGUGAAGAUGCCGGAUACCUGCGACAGGACGGAAAGACCCCAUGGAGCUUUACUGUAGCUUGACAUUGGGUCUUGGUACUACAUGUACAGGAUAGGUGGGAGGCUUUGAAACCAGGACGCCAGUUUUGGCGGAGCCAUCCUUGGGAUACCACCCUUGUAGUACUGGGACUCUAACCAUAGGCCAUGCAUCUGGUCUUGGGACACUGUCAGGUGGGCAGUUUGACUGGGGCGGUCGCCUCCCAAAAGGUAACGGAGGCGCUCAAAGGUUCUCUCAGUACGGUCGGAAAUCGUACGUAGAGUGUAAAGGCAAAAGAG
Molecule: ribosomal RNA, 323 nt
Filed under: Clostridioides difficile
Lineage: Bacteria; Bacillati; Bacillota; Clostridia; Peptostreptococcales; Peptostreptococcaceae
Description: partial 23S ribosomal RNA
Rfam family: Bacterial large subunit ribosomal RNA
Source: RNAcentral